GGAGGAAAGCAGGGGAUCGCAAGACCUUGCGCUUUUAGAGCGGCCGAUGUCUGAUUAGCUAGUUGGUGAGGUAAAGGCUUACCAAGGCGUCGAUCAGUAGCUGGUCUGAGAGGACGACCAACCACACUGGGACUGAGACACGGCCCAGACUCCUACGGGAGGCAGCAGUGGGGAAUUUUGGACAAUGGGGGAAACCCUGAUCCAGCCAUGCCGCGUGAGUGAAGAAGGCCUUCGGGUUGUAAAGCUCUUUCAGCCGGAACGAAACGGUCACGGCUAAUACCUGUGAUCACUGACGGUACCGGAAGAAGAAGCACCGGCUAACUACGUGCCAGCAGCCGCGGUAAUACGUAGGGUGCGAGCGUUAAUCGGAAUUACUGGGCGUAAAGCGUGCGCAGGCGGUUUUGUAAGUCAGAUGUGAAAUCCCCGGGCUUAACCUGGGAACUGCGUUUGAAACUACAAAGCUAG
RNAcentral lists this ribosomal RNA (465 nucleotides) under uncultured ammonia-oxidizing bacterium. RNAcentral describes it as "bacterial SSU rRNA". It matches the Rfam family "Bacterial small subunit ribosomal RNA", at positions 198 to 644 of the family's 1533-position model. The record is from RNAcentral.